This 460-nucleotide ribosomal RNA is filed under the name uncultured bacterium. RNAcentral's name for it is "partial 16S ribosomal RNA". It matches the Rfam family "Bacterial small subunit ribosomal RNA", at positions 338 to 795 of the family's 1533-position model. The record is from RNAcentral.
CCUACGGGUGGCAGCAGUGAGGAAUAUUGGUCAAUGGACGAGAGUCUGAACCAGCCAAGUAGCGUGAAGGAUGACUGCCCUAUGGGUUGUAAACUUCUUUUAUAUGGGAAUAAAAUGUUCCACGUGUGGGAUUUUGUAUGUACCAUAUGAAUAAGGAUCGGCUAACUCCGUGCCAGCAGCCGCGGUAAUACGGAGAAUCCGAGCGUUAUCCGGAUUUAUUGGGUUUAAAGGGAGCGUAGGUGGAUUGUUAAGUCAGUUGUGAAAGUUUGCGGCUCAACCGUAAAAUUGCAGUUGAAACUGGCAGUCUUGAGUACAGUAGAGGUGGGCGGAAUUCGUGGUGUAGCGGUGAAAUGCUUAGAUAUCACGAAGAACUCCGAUUGCGAAGGCAGUUCACUGGACUGCAACUGACACUGAGGCUCGAAAGUGUGGGUAUCAAACAGGAUUAGAUACCCUAGUAGUC